AAUGAACGCUGGCGGCAGGCCUAACACAUGCAAGUCGAACGGGCCCUUCGGGGCUAGUGGCGGACGGGUGAGUAACGCGUGGGAACAUACCCUUUGGUACGGAAUAGCCUCGGGAAACUGAGAGUAAUACCGUAUGUGCUCGAAAGAGGAAAGAUUUAUCGCCAAAGGAUUGGCCCGCGUUGGAUUAGGUAGUUGGUGGGGUAAUGGCCUACCAAGCCGACGAUCCAUAGCUGGUUUGAGAGGAUGAUCAGCCACACUGGGACUGAGACACGGCCCAGACUCCUACGGGAGGCAGCAGUGGGGAAUCUUAGACAAUGGGGGCAACCCUGAUCUAGCCAUGCCGCGUGAGUGAUGAAGGCCUUAGGGUUGUAAAGCUCUUUCAGUGGGGGAAGAUAAUGACGGUACCCACAGAAGAAGCCCCCGGCUAAACUCCGUGCCAGCAGCCG
Molecule: ribosomal RNA, 446 nt
Filed under: uncultured bacterium
Lineage: Bacteria
Description: bacterial SSU rRNA
Rfam family: Bacterial small subunit ribosomal RNA
Source: RNAcentral